Ictalurus punctatus (channel catfish) is the source of this 395-nucleotide long non-coding RNA. Lineage: Eukaryota; Metazoa; Chordata; Actinopteri; Siluriformes; Ictaluridae. The record is from Ensembl.
UUUGUGUGUUGGUGUGUGUUUGGUGUGUGUUUGUGUGUUUGGUGCGUGUUUGUGUGUUUGGUGUGUGUUUGGUGUGUGUUUGUGUGUUUGGUGUUUGUUUGUGUGUUUGGUGCGUGUUUGUGUGUUUGGUGUGUGUUUUGUUUGUGGUUGGUGUGUGUUUGGUGUGUGUUUGUGUGUUUGGUGUGUUUGUGGUGUGUGUUUGGUGUGUGUUUGUGUGUUUGGUGUGUGUUUGGUGUGUGUUUGUGUGUUUGGUGCGUGUUUGUGUGUUUGGUGUGUGUUUGGUGUGUGUUUGUGUGUUUGGUGUGUGUUUGUGUGUUUGGUGCGUGUUUGUGUGUUUGUGUGUUUGUGUGUUUGGUGUGUGUUUGGUGCGUGUUUGUGUGUUUGGUGUGUGUUUG